RNAcentral lists this ribosomal RNA (1023 nucleotides) under Methylotenera sp. Its description in RNAcentral is "partial 23S ribosomal RNA". It matches the Rfam family "Bacterial large subunit ribosomal RNA", at positions 945 to 1956 of the family's 2925-position model. Lineage: Bacteria; Pseudomonadati; Pseudomonadota; Betaproteobacteria; Nitrosomonadales; Methylophilaceae. The record is from RNAcentral.
CAUUGCAAACUCCGAAUACUGAGAAAUGCAAUUACGGGAGACAGACCAUGGGUGCUAACGUCCGUGGUCAAGAGGGAAACAACCCAGACCGACAGCUAAGGUCCCAAAUGACGUGCUAAGUGGAAAACGAAGUGGGAAGGCAUAGACAGCCAGGAUGUUGGCUUAGAAGCAGCCAUCAUUUAAAGAAAGCGUAAUAGCUCACUGGUCGAGUCGUCCUGCGCGGAAGAUGUAACGGGGCUAAGCACGUAACCGAAGCUUCGGAUGCUGCACUAUUUAUAGUGUAUGCAUGGUAGGAGAGCGUUCUGUAGGCCUGCGAAGGUGUUCUGUGAGGAAUGCUGGAGGUAUCAGAAGUGCGAAUGCUGACAUGAGUAGCGAUAAAGGGAGUGAAAAGCUCCCUCGCCGAAAACCCAAGGUUUCCUACGCAACGUUCAUCGGCGUAGGGUGAGUCGGCCCCUAAGGUGAGGCAGAGAUGCGUAGCUGAUGGGAAACAGGUUAAUAUUCCUGUACCUGUAUACAAUGCGAUGUGGGGACGGAGAAGGUUAGGUCAGCCGGGUGUUGGAUGUCCCGGUUCAAGCGUGUAGGCAGAUUCUUUAGGCAAAUCCGGAGAGUUAAUGCUGAGGCGUGAUAACGAGCGUACUUGUACGUGAAGUGAUUGAUACCAUGCUUCCAAGAAAAGCCACUAAGCUUCAGUUGUAUAGAGACCGUACCGCAAACCGACACAGGUGGGUAGGAUGAGAAUUCUAAGGCGCUUGAGAGAACCCGGGAGAAGGAACUCGGCAAAUUAGCACCGUAACUUCGGGAGAAGGUGCGCCCUUGGUAUGUGAAGAGACUUGCUCUUGGAGCAGAAGAGGGUUGCAGUGAAAAGGUGGCUGCGACUGUUUAAUAAAAACACAGCACUCUGCAAACACGAAAGUGGACGUAUAGGGUGUGACGCCUGCCCGGUGCUGGAAGAUUAAAUGAUGGGGUGCAAGCUCUUGAUUGAAGUCCCAGUAAACGGCGGCCGUAACUAUAACGGUCCUAAGG